Molecule: ribosomal RNA, 446 nt
Filed under: uncultured bacterium
Lineage: Bacteria
Description: partial 16S ribosomal RNA
Rfam family: Bacterial small subunit ribosomal RNA
Source: RNAcentral
CCUACGGUGCGCUGCAGUCGAGAAUCAUUCACAAUGGGGGAAACCCUGAUGGUGCGACGCCGCGUGGGGGAAUGAAGGUCUUCGGAUUGUAAACCCCUGUCAUGUGGGAGCAAAUUAAAAAGAUAGUACCACAAGAGGAAGAGACGGCUAACUCUGUGCCAGCAGCCGCGGUAAUACAGAGGUCUCAAGCGUUGUUCGGAAUCACUGGGGGUAAAGCGUGCGUAGGCUGUUUCGUAAGUCGUGUGUGAAAGGCGCGGGCUCAACCCGCGGACGGCACAUGAUACUGCGAGACUAGAGUAAUGGAGGGGGAACCGGAAUUCUCGGUGUAGCAGUGAAAUGCGUAGAUAUCGAGAGGAACACUCGUGGCGAAGGCGGGUUCCCGGACAUUAACUGACGCUGAGACACGAAGGCCAGGGGAGCGAAAGGGAUUAGAUACCCGAGUAGUC